CCUACGGGAGGCAGCAGUGGGGAAUAUUGCGCAAUGGGGGCAACCCUGACGCAGCAACGCCGCGUGAUUGAAGAAGGCCUUCGGGUUGUAAAGAUCUUUAAUCAGGGACGAAAAAUGACGGUACCUGAAGAAUAAGCUCCGGCUAACUACGUGCCAGCAGCCGCGGUAAUACGUAGGGAGCAAGCGUUAUCCGGAUUUACUGGGUGUAAAGGGCGUGUAGGCGGGCCUGUAAGUCAGAAGUGAAAUCUGGGGGCUUAACCCCCAAACUGCUUUUGAAACUGCGGGUCUUGAGUGAUGGAGAGGCA
This 305-nucleotide ribosomal RNA is filed under the name uncultured bacterium. RNAcentral describes it as "bacterial SSU rRNA". It matches the Rfam family "Bacterial small subunit ribosomal RNA", at positions 338 to 659 of the family's 1533-position model. The record is from RNAcentral.